This 514-nucleotide ribosomal RNA is filed under the name uncultured bacterium. RNAcentral's name for it is "bacterial SSU rRNA". It matches the Rfam family "Bacterial small subunit ribosomal RNA", at positions 355 to 887 of the family's 1533-position model. The record is from RNAcentral.
UGGGGAAUAUUGGACAAUGGGCGCAAGCCUGAUCCAGCCAUGCCGCGUGAGUGAUGAAGGCCCUAGGGUUGUAAAGCUCUUUUGGCGGGGAAGAUAAUGACGGUACCCGCAGAAUAAGCCCCGGCUAACUUCGUGCCAGCAGCCGCGGUAAUACGAAGGGGGCUAGCGUUGCUCGGAAUCACUGGGCGUAAAGGGCGCGUAGGCGGCCAUUCAAGUCGGGGGUGAAAGCCCAGGGCUCAACCCUGGAAUUGCCUUCGAUACUGUUUGGCUAGAGACCGGAAGAGGUAAGUGGAACUGCGAGUGUAGAGGUGAAAUUCGUAGAUAUUCGCAAGAACACCAGUGGCGAAGGCGGCUUACUGGUCCGGUUCUGACGCUGAGGCGCGAAAGCGUGGGGAGCAAACAGGAUUAGAUACCCUGGUAGUCCACGCCGUAAACGAUGGAUGCUAGCCGUUGGCGAGCUUGCUCGUCAGUGGCGCAGCUAACGCUUUAAGCAUCCCGCCUGGGGAGUACGGUC